Rhinolophus ferrumequinum (greater horseshoe bat) is the source of this 3076-nucleotide RNA transcript. It is a transcript of the gene named spermatogenesis associated 7, with no coding region annotated. The transcript has 12 exons. NCBI's taxonomy places the organism in Eukaryota, Metazoa, Chordata, Mammalia, Chiroptera, Rhinolophidae. The record is from RefSeq and is a predicted model, not a curated record.
AACCUGCCCGGCAACGGUCUGCAGCCCCCGCGGCUUCCAGUCUGCCCCUCCUUCACAAUAUUCGGCUACGGGUGCUGGUCCAGCCCGGGGAAGGACCGAAGGGGACCGAGCGUGGCCCACGGCGGCUGCAAGAGGAUCGAAGCAUGAAUGGCAGCCGGAGAGUCAGAGCAACCUCUGUCCUUCCCAGAUAUGGUCCGCCAUCCAUAUUUAAAGGACACUUGAGCACCAAAAGUAACGUGUUUUGCACUGACUCCUCCUCUCUCAGACUAAGUACUCUCCACCUGAUCAAGAAUCACAUGGCUGUUCACUAUAAUAAAAUCCUUUCAGCCAAAGCUAUGGUAGACUGCUCAGUUCCACUCAGUAUGAGUGCCAGCAUCAAAUAUUCAUUCUUCCCAUCAGAUGCAGACCAACAACGAAGAGAGAAACUCAAAAAGGAAUUAGCACGAUGUGAAAGGGAGUUGAAAUUACCUAAAACCGAAGUGCAGGCCAAUUCUAAAAAUAAUUCCAAGUCAUUAUUUAACACUCUACAAACGCCUUCAGGAGAACCACAAGAUGAAGAUGACGUGUUAAUCGAAGAAGUGAAUGGCUAUUCGUCCUUUUCAAGGUCACCAGUAACUUCUUCAGAGAAACUACACAUAAGUCUACCUAAAUCCAAUAAAGAUCUCACAAAUGGUACUGAGAAGACCGCCAGCUCCUUCCUGUCCAGUGUGGAUUAUACCACCUCCGGGCCGAGGAGACUGUCGUCUGGAACCUCAUGUGGCAGAGGCCCUCGGAGCACAUUCCCGAAUGCCCAUCGGUUUCAGUUAGUUAUUUCAAAAGCACCCAGUGGGGACCUUUUGGAUAAACAUUCUGAACUCUUUUCUAACAGACAUUUGCCAUUCACUCCACGCACUUUAAAAUCAGAAGCAAAAUCUUUCCUGUCACAGUAUCGAUACUAUACACCUGCCAGAAGAAAAAAGGAUUUUACAGAUCAGCGGAUAGAAGCUGAAACCCAGACUGAAUUAAGCAGCUUUAAAUCUGAUUUUGAGGCAGUUGAGACUAAGAACGUCACAAAUUCAGAAGUGAACAUAAAACAGCCCCAGGCAUCUAGUUGUACGACAUGUGGUACCAAAGAAAGAAUAACCCGUUUACCUUUACAAGGUCCUGGCUUACCCCGGGAUGAGAUUAAAGACGAUGCUCUUCAGUAUUCCCCGUCAAGUGAAGAAGAACUGUUGUAUCUGAGUUUCAUUGAAGAUGUAACAGAUGAAAUUUUGAAACUUGGUUUAUUUUCAAACAGGUUUUUAGAACAGCUGUUUGAGCGACAUAUAAGACAAAAUAAACACCAUUUGGAGGAGGGGAAAAUGCGACAUCUGCUGCAUAUCCUAAAGGUGAACUUAGGCUGCACAGCCAAGGAAAAGCUAGAUGACAUAAAACUAGAGGAAGAUGAUAUGUUGAAUUUACUUGAUUUUGAAGUGGCUGAAAGUUCAGAACAAAAUGAAUAUAAAAAUGAACAAGAUGCAGCAAUUCAACAGGAACGUCAAGAAUACCAAAAAGCUUUGGAUAUGUUAUUGUCUGCACCAAAGGAUGAGAAUGAGAUAUUCUCACCAAAUGAAUUUUUCAUGCCUGUCUAUAAAUCAAAGUAUUCAGAAGGGGUUAUAGUUAAGCAGGUAAAUGAUGAAACAAAUCUUGGACCUUCAAUUUGGGAUGAAAAAAAUCCAAGUAUGUCAGAGAACGUAACAGACCAAGAAACCUCUGUGAAUGUCAUUGAAGGUGACAGUGAUACUGAAAAGGUUGAGACUUCAAAUGAAUUAUGUUGUCUCAGCACAGCACUUUCCCAGUCUGUUCAGCUCUGCAGUGUCAAAGGUGACAAUCAUCAUGACAUGGAAGGACCAACUCUUAAGAUCACCGAAAUGAGCACUGAGGAUUGCCCUUUGGAUCUUUGAUACUCAUUAAUAAAUAUCCCAGAUGGCCAGUAAUUCAAUAUUCCUUUUCUUAUUUUUUCUUUUCUAGAUUAAGAUUUUCUGUAUUUAUUUUCUAUGCUAUAUAAUAAAUUGCCAUGGAUUUAGCAGCUGAAAACAAAGCACAUGUAUUAUUUAUGCCCCUGUUUCUGAACACAGCUUAGCUGGGUCCUCUGCUCUGGGUCUCACGAGACUACAAUCCAGGUGUUAGUCCAGAGCUCAUCUAAAGGCUUGAUGUGGGGAGAACCUGCUUGCAAACUUUUCAGAUUGUUGGCCUAAUUCCUUUCCUUGUAGCACUAGAUCUGAAAACUUCAAUUUCUUCCUGGCCGUUGGCUGCCCUCAGCUCUUGAAAGCUGCCCACCGUUCCCUGCCACUUGGCCUUCUCCGUGGACAGCUCACAACACAUCUGCGAGUUUCUUCAAGGCUAACAGGAGAAUGAGAGACUCUGCUAGCAAGAGUCUUAGGUUUCCAGUGCUGCUGUUCCUGGUUGAGAAACAACCCCACUAAAAGAGGAAGUGGACAUCCAGUGAAUAAAUUAAGUUCCACUACCGGGAUGGUAGUGUGAGCUCUGGCGACAGGCUGGGAAGUUGACAUUGUUGGCAAAUAUGUAAUUGUUUGUUCUUUAAAUAUAUUAAUUGUUCCACAAGUGUCCUAAUUAAUGAAGCCAGCUAUUUUGGUAAGAUGCAUUCGAACUCUUAAGUAAUUGAUUACUGUGAAGAUGUGUGAUGAUAGACUGGCAACUAUUAAAAGAAACAUCCAUUGUCUAGAACAUUACUGAAAACAACCCAAUGGGGAAAUAUGCCUCUUUGCAAUAAGAUCUAGAAUGAAAAACAAAAAAAGAGGCAAAAUAGUUUUAAUUGCACUAUUACAUUCACACACCAAAUCAUAUCUUGCUUCAAUAUUUAUUUUUAUGGCAAAAAUAGACUGUACUACAUUCAUUUCACAUAUAUUCAGUCAUUCGAACUUGUUUUCCCAUUAAAUGUACAUACUUUUAUAAACCAAUGACAGUUUAGAAGAAUUAAGUUCUUCUGAUUAUACAUUUUUACAUUACUAAUCAUCAGACAGUAGCACAUAAAAUUGCUUUUUAAACUAGUAAACACUACUAGAUGACUAUUUAUACUACCGUUUCAAAUAGGUAG